Molecule: long non-coding RNA, 639 nt
Organism: Populus nigra (black poplar)
Lineage: Eukaryota; Viridiplantae; Streptophyta; Magnoliopsida; Malpighiales; Salicaceae
Exons: 3
Source: RefSeq, a predicted model, not a curated record
AGAUUUGCUAUAUAAAUAGCAAAAUUAUGCAUAAAAAAAGAGAGGAUGGCCGAAUGAAAGAAAAAAAAGGGGAGACAGUGAGAGAGUGUAUCUUGAGAGCAGAUACUAAAACGGUCAUAUCUCUAUAUUGCACCGUUGGAUUGGUCUGAUUUUUGGAUAUAUUAUGGCUCUCACCACCCUCUAAUAGCUGACCGUUGGGAUCUGAAUGUUCUGGUUUUGUGUGAGAGAUAUAUACCUCGCAACAUUUCAAGGAAAACUUGCCUGCAGGUCAGUCACGGUCACUGGCAGUUUUUGCCUUUGUCCACCGUUGGAUCCUGCUCAAAUUUGAAUAUGUUCGUCAUAUUGGUGAGCUCUUCAUUAUGAACGGUGGAGAUCGGGAUUCAAGACUUAUACAAGGAGAAAAGAUGUAUGGAGCAGGGUCGUCAGUAGUUAAAGGGACUCGAUCGAUUGGGGAAACAGGACCAUCGCGCGCACGACAGGAGUAGAUCCUAGCUUUUGUUCACUUUUUGUUAUGUAGUUUUAGGGAGUAUAUCCUUGUAUUUUGAAAUAUUAAAAUAUUCAUAUAACUUAAUUUAUAUAAUGGAUGUUUUAAACUUGAUUAGAUGAACUUAACUCUGAAAUCCAUAUAAUCAUGUUUCA